Molecule: ribosomal RNA, 518 nt
Filed under: uncultured bacterium
Lineage: Bacteria
Description: bacterial SSU rRNA
Rfam family: Bacterial small subunit ribosomal RNA
Source: RNAcentral
GAGUUUGAUCCUGGCUCAGGAUGAACGCUGGCGGCGUGCUUAACACAUGCAAGUCGAACGGGAAAUAUUUCAUUGAGACUUCGGUGGAUUUGAUCUAUUUCUAGUGGCGGACGGGUGAGUAACGCGUGGGUAACCUGCCUCAAAGAGGGGGACAACAGUUGGAAACGACUGCUAAUACCGCAUAAGCCCACGACCCGGCAUCGGGAAGAGGGAAAAGGAGCAAUCCGCUUUGAGAUGGCCUCGCGUCCGAUUAGCUAGUUGGUGAGGUAACGGCCCACCAAGGCAACGAUCGGUAGCCGGACUGAGAGGUUGAACGGCCACAUUGGGACUGAGACACGGCCCAGACUCCUACGGGAGGCAGCAGUGGGGAAUAUUGCACAAUGGGGGAAACCCUGAUGCAGCGACGCCGCGUGGAGGAAGAAGGUCUUCGGAUUGUAAACUCCUGUUGUUGAGGAAGAUAAUGACGGUACUCAACAAGGAAGUGACGGCUAACUACGUGCCAGCCGCCGCGGUAAUAC